ACAGUGCUCUGUGCAGCCUGGCAGCAUGAGUGAUCCUUGGGCCUCACACAAAAGCGAGAUAAUUGGCUCUCAAUGAAGAGAUGUAAACAUCCAUCAUAAUGGCACUGGGGCUGAAACUGAACGCUACCUCAGCUGUUCUAUGUACUCCGACUGGAAGAUGAUGUCACAAACAUCAACUGGGUGUACUCUCAUUGGCUUCUGUUACCUGGAAUCAUAUCUUAACCCUAAACUGUCAGCUGCAAAUUGAAAUGCUCAUCUCUGGCUAUAAUUUUGGCUGAAAGGGGAAUGAAAGUGAUGUUGAGCUCCUGGAGGACCACUUCCAACCACCUUAUCAUUGUCAAACUCAUCUCUGAUUCUUCAGCAUCGUGAGGCCACCAUGCUUUAUUUGGAAUCUACCUUUCUGUCCCAUAAUCAAGAAAGUUUCUCCAGGAAGAAACCAGACACAAUUUUCUGUAGAGAUACAGUAUAUCACUAUAUGGAAUUCAAAGCAUGUUCAACACUUUGUGCUAAGGCAUUGCUGCUUCAAAAUGUUUACAAUUUGAUCCUGUCUGAACCCAUUGAAUCUACUGCAACCAAAACUACACUUGCACUAAACUCUAUGGCUGAAUCAAAGAGAGAGAGACAGAGUGUGAGCAGGGGAGGAACAGAGAGAGAGGGAGACACAGAAUUUGAAGCAACUCCAGUCUCCAGGCUGUCAGCACAGAGCCCAAGCAGGGCUGGAGCUCACAAACAGCAAGGUCAUGACCUGAGUCAAAGUCUGAUGCUCAACUGACUGAGCCACCCAGGCGUCCCUUCUUCUAUUUUUGGCUAAGUUGUUUUGUUUUUUUGUUUGUUUGUUUGUUUUUUGGCAACCAUCUGCUGAUCAGAGUUCCAUUCAGUCUUUAAAGCUAAAAACAUCCAUUGUGAAUGUACUCUAUUCCAGGAUUUUUUUUUUUAUUCUUUGGUGGAAGAAAAAUUUAAAUCCGAAAAUCUUGGAUGCAUAUACUUUCCAAACAUUCACUAUUUUUCAAUCAUUUUUACAUAAUGUAAUAGUAAUACAUUU
This is a long non-coding RNA of Acinonyx jubatus (cheetah), 1042 nucleotides long. RefSeq lists it as uncharacterized. The transcript has 4 exons. Lineage: Eukaryota; Metazoa; Chordata; Mammalia; Carnivora; Felidae. The record is from RefSeq and is a predicted model, not a curated record.